AAAGAGAAAGUUUAUUACGAUGUAGGUGCAUAUUCAAGGCCCGUUGAUGGAUGAACUUUUGUAGUUGUGGUCCAAAGGUGUACGUAUGUGGGACGGGCAUAAAAAAUAUGAUUUUGAUCUACGUGCUUUGUUAUUGGCGAACAGGCGAGUGAGUGAAGAGAGAAGCCAUGCCUCUUUCGAGUGAGGCAAGCGAUGAACGAGUAGAUGCUGCCAUUCAACAAGGGAUUCAGGGUCUGCACCUAUUGUUUAGAUGAGAUCGGUAUCUUGUAUCUACAUCAUUGUAGAGAAGUUGUUUACAUGGGCCAUCGUCGAUUUCUUGUAAACACCAAAUAAGAAGAAAAGGCAAGCAUUGAAAUGCACAAGUAGACCAUCGUGCCAAGCCUAUUCCCCAAAGGAGCAACCUUGUAUUCCAGAUGGUAUAGAACUUAAAUGUAGUGUAUGGGAAUC
Zea mays is the source of this 447-nucleotide long non-coding RNA. RefSeq lists it as uncharacterized. The transcript has 2 exons. NCBI's taxonomy places the organism in Eukaryota, Viridiplantae, Streptophyta, Magnoliopsida, Poales, Poaceae. The record is from RefSeq and is a predicted model, not a curated record.